AACGCACCUUGCGCUCCUUGGUAUUCCGAGGAGCAUGCCUGUUUGAGUGUCAUUAAUAUAUCAACCUCUAAAGCUUUUGCUUAUUUGAGUUGGAUGUGGGGGUUUUUUGCUGGCCUUUCUCAGGUCAGCUCCCCUGAAAUUCAUUAGCAGAACAAUUUGUUAACCGUUCAUUGGUGUGAUAACUAUCUACGCUAUUGACGGAAAGCAGUUCAGCUCCUAACAGUCCAUUGACUUGGACAAUCUUUCUAUUAAUGUGACCUCAAAUCAGGUAGGACUACCCGCUGAACUUAA
RNAcentral lists this unclassified non-coding RNA (291 nucleotides) under uncultured Cortinarius. RNAcentral describes it as "sequence contains ITS2". The stretch from base 1 to 52 matches the Rfam family "5.8S ribosomal RNA", at positions 103 to 154 of the family's 154-position model. Lineage: Eukaryota; Fungi; Basidiomycota; Agaricomycetes; Agaricales; Cortinariaceae. The record is from RNAcentral.